RNAcentral lists this non-coding RNA (24 nucleotides) under Cricetulus griseus (Chinese hamster). The record is from RNAcentral. Lineage: Eukaryota; Metazoa; Chordata; Mammalia; Rodentia; Cricetidae.
UAUUGUGAACUUUAAAUGGUGGAU